Molecule: ribosomal RNA, 320 nt
Filed under: uncultured bacterium
Lineage: Bacteria
Description: bacterial SSU rRNA
Rfam family: Bacterial small subunit ribosomal RNA
Source: RNAcentral
AACGAACGCUGGCGGCGCGCCUAAUACAUGCAAGUCGAGCGAGAAGACGUAGCAAUACGUUUGUAAAGCGGCGAACGGGUGAGGAAUACAUGGGUAACCUACCCUCGAGUGGGGAAUAACUAGCCGAAAGGUUAGCUAAUACCGCGUACGCUCCUUGGACUUCGGUUCAGGGAGGAAAGCGAUACCGUGGGUAUCGCGCUCUUGGAUGGGCUCAUGUCCUAUCAGCUUGUUAGGUGAGGAACGGCUCACCAAGGCUUCGACGGGUAGCUGGUCUGAGAGGACGAUCAGCCACACUGGCACUGCGACACGGGCCAGACUCC